Molecule: long non-coding RNA, 848 nt
Organism: Dioscorea cayenensis subsp. rotundata (Guinea yam)
Lineage: Eukaryota; Viridiplantae; Streptophyta; Magnoliopsida; Dioscoreales; Dioscoreaceae
Exons: 3
Source: RefSeq, a predicted model, not a curated record
AUAUAUCAUUAAAUCAAAUAAAAAACCUUCUUCUCCUCACUAUUCUUCUACUUUUUCUUCAGCUUCUACAUCGAAACACAACACCACGAGAGACUUUGAGCCUGGGGCUGAAAGGAGAGCAGCACAACGUCUGGCGGUGCUCCCAAGAAGUGAGUUUGCACGUCAGAGAUGGGUCCGGGAGGUGAGUAAAGUUUGGGAGGUGUUACUGGUGGUGGGUCAUGCUCAUGUCCAUCGCUCGUCAGUGCAGAUCGUGUCGCUGAGGAAGAGAACGAAGGGCACUGGGGACUGGGGAGUGCUCUUCUACUUCUAUUCGCUCGGCUUAUAGAGCAUUGUAUCUUUUAACUAGAUUUAUCGCUUCUUUGCGAAGAAUGUAGUUCGCUGGAUUGCUUCUGAAUUAUGGCAAGAAACAUAGGACCGGCUUGUUUUUGUUGUCAGUCUGUUGACUAUUCAUUUUGAAACUUGCCAAGACAGACUUGGGAGAGAUUUGAGGAGUAGAAGAUAAUACACUAGAUAUCUUAGUACACACUGCAGAUCACUGCAAACAUGGAGUCUUUGUUCCAUCUUAUAACAUGAGAGCUUGUUCUUCUUGUCAUAUACUUGCUGAAGCUUUUGCAACUCUUUUUACAUCUGAAGCCAAUUUCUUUACCUGUUCAAACAAAGAAGACUCUUUUUAGAAAUUCUUCAUGAAAGCAUGAAAUUGCUGUUGAUUUGUGUAUUGUUUGUUCCUUUCUUUUCGUUGUAGCCGGCCAAAACGAAUAUCCCACAUGAUAUAUUUUCAAGUCCUUGUAUAUAUCCUUCUUGUUUUUUUGAGAUAAACUCAUUUAUGCUAACGAUGCCAUCUUAAUUUU